CAGUCGCCGCGGUAAUGCGUAGGGCGCGAGCGUUAAUCGGAAUUACUGGGCGUAAAGCGUGCGCAGGCGGUUAUAUAAGACAGAUGUGAAAUCCCCGGGCUCAACCUGGGACCUGCAUUUGUGACUGUAUAGCUAGAGUACGGUAGAGGGGGAUGGAAUUCCGCGUGUAGCAGUGAAAUGCGUAGAUAUGCGGAGGAACACCGAUGGCGAAGGCAAUCCCCUGGACCUGUACUGACGCUCAUGCACGAAAGCGUGGGGAGCAAACAGGAUUAGAUACCCCUGUAGUCCCUGUCUCUUAUAC
Molecule: ribosomal RNA, 301 nt
Filed under: uncultured bacterium
Lineage: Bacteria
Description: partial 16S ribosomal RNA
Rfam family: Bacterial small subunit ribosomal RNA
Source: RNAcentral